CCGCGGCAAGGUGUGCAUAGUAGAUGGGAGCAACUGAGAGAGAGAGCGAAAAUCAGAUGAUCAGCCAUGAGUAAAUUGCAGAAAACCACCACAAUUGGGAACCCUAAUUCACAAAACCAGCAUCUUUCGUUUUUUUUUCAAAAACCCACCGCCGUUGUACUGACAGUUUUCAGAAACGCUAAUCGCUCAAUUAAAACUGUUUAAGUGAAAAUCUGACCAGUGGGUCCUGAUGACAUGUCCACGUGACGGAGGAUAGACGGCACAACUGGUCAACCCCGUCCCCGUCGCCAGCCAGGCUGCCGGCCGACGAGCCUCCCAGCACCGCUAGCUCCUGCGCCACGCAGCAGCACGCUCGGCCGCUUGCCAUGUCCUCCGGCCACAAGCUGAAUAUGGAUGCAGGACAUGCCCAAAAGCUCCUGUUCCUGUACGGGCCUCAGGCCGACGAAGCAGCCGUCGCCGGACUGCAGGAGGCCGCCGGGAGCAGACCACGACAGGGGUGAGACGAAGAGGUUCUCAGGGGAAUAGAAGGAGCUCCUGGAGCCUGCGCAUGCUACUGGAGUACAGGACUAGGCAGGGAAGCACGACCUACUUGAGUUCGUCGGCCAUGGCGGUGGUCGUGCUCGGAGCUCUUGGGGGAUGGCGCUACAGCGCGAAAUAGAGCAGAGAAGAUGGGGGGAAACUGAGAUCAGCUCACUUCGAUGCGGUGGGAGAGCUCAGUGGGUACUGGGAAGGCUUGGAGGCGGCGAAUUGACGGCGAGGAGCGGCCGGUGCAAGCAGCGGAGAAAAGCUCGAUUCGGUCGUCUCCGGGCGUCCCUGCUCGAAUCCGUCGGCGAGGGAUAUCAGCACGAGGAGGCGGAGCUCAUGGACAUGGUCUGGCGGCGAUUCGUUAGCGGUGGCUACGCGGUAGCAAGGCAGUGCUCUCCGGGGGCGUCCUACCGCACCAUGCCGCUCGGCUCGGCCACGACUACCCACCUCGCCGGCUGUGGCAAGCCACCUCCAGCUCGUCCCCGCGCGCUUCCCCUCCUCCUCAUGUAUCCUGCUCCACGCUCCGCUCGCCGCCGGCUACGGACGGAGCCGCGCGCAUGACCCGGCUGUGCCACGACCAGCCACCUUGCCGGCUACGGCCAUGGCUGCGCCGCCACCUCGCGCCGUGUCCGACGCCAUCAGUCGGCGAGGACUCCGCACCGAUGCCAGCUUUGCCCGAACCCCUGGAUGAGCAGCUCGAGCUCCGUGAUGGAGACGACGACGGCGGCGCACGGGAGGUGUUUGUAAGAAUGCUUGAAAAAAGAGGAAGGAGCAAGCACACUGAUGGGUGGGUCCUACGUCUAACUUAACAUGGAGCGAAACUUUCUAACGGCAUGUAACGAGCACCGUCUUUACCCGGGCCACGUGGCACCUGUCAUUGGGACCCACUAGUCAGAUUUUCACUCAAACAACUCUAAUUGCUUGUUCAGUGUUUUCUGAAAACUGUCAGCACAAUGGUGGUGGUUUUUUGAAAAAAAAACGAAAGAUGGUUGUUUUAUGAAUUAGGGUCCCCAAUUGUGGUGGUUUUUUGCAAUUUACUCGAUCAGCCAUGCAUGCCGUUUUGACUGAUAAGUUGUUGCGAGAUCAAUCAAGUAAUGGCAAAUCAUGCUUACUUACCUACUGAGAUGGCUGUGGUGCUCCUCUGAUACCUGAAACGAGUACACAAGCAUCAAAAUGUCACAAAGAGUGCAACGAUGAUCAUCGACCAGAGGCAAAUUAAGGUAACAACUGAAUCUUUUGUAACUGUUUCAGUGCACAUACGUGUAGGACAGGGAGUGCACGAGCUCCUGCAGAUCGUCAGUAGAGAAGCCUAUCUCAUCAUGGAGCACAUGGUAGUGUGUUGGCCUUGUAGUCCCCUGGAAUUAACACACGAGCAUAGAGGACUGACUUAAUUAGAUUCAAAUAAGCAUUUGCAAAGCAGUGAAUUACAAUCACAACUCACACAAGGUAUAGAGAGAACAUACGAUAAUGCCAGCAUGAGCACACAUGUAGAAAUCAUAGUUCCUGGGAUGGCAGAUUACUCCAUCAACCACAGUACCUAAACAAGGGGAAAGUAGGACUAUGAUAAGAAUGUAUGUGUACAAAAAGCAUAGAAAUUGAGCUUGUUUGAUCCAUACAAAAUUGCAAAUAAUAGUUCUCUGGUAGCUAGGUGUGUAGAGAUUCUUAUUAAGUGCUUUUGAUUUCGUGUGAAUGCGUAUAUACAAACGGAACAAGCUAGCAGUCCCGAUGAUUGCCGUCCUCCACUAAAAUUGAAAGAUUGAAAAUUCAGAAUUUUUUUUGAAAGAAUGUAAAGGUACUUGGAUAAAAGAUAUAGGUUACCAGGGGGAACAUUAUUCACUCCAUUCCGCAAGAAAAAUCUUGUGUGAUGAUUCUUCUGUGCAACUAUCACUGUGAACUUGGGGAACCAGUUGCCACCAAAAUGCUUGUCGCCAAAAAACUUGCAUGCCUGUAGUAUCAAUUAGAAUUACAUCAUUACAUCAAGAACCGGCGCAUGAGGAAGAAUUAGAUGUCAUUUAUGUUACCUCCAUGAUCUGGCCUAGCUCAUCAUUCAACACCUGAUCGAACUGGCUCUCACUAACCCCAUCCCUAAUAUCAAGACAACAAAACUCCUUAGCCAGCAUCAGGGUGCCAAAGUAAACUUAUUGAAGACGUCAAGUAUUAGAGUCAGUUUGUACUCUUAGGACUAUGAAUAAAAUGUGGGGAGUGUUCUGAGGGACAACACACAAUUAAUAAACCAAUUUCUACACGACAGUUAUGAUUAUUUUCAAAAAAGAAAAGUUAUGAUGCUGAAGUACAAAGUACACUAUCAGUUAGCGUUUGCACACAUUAUCCCAGGAGGACAACUGACCUGAAAAUGAUAAUUUGUUCCGGCUUCGGUUUAUUGUUUUUUCCGAGGAAGGCAACUAGUGAAUCCCUGAAAUGUUAUACCCCAGUGAGCAAAAAGAAGAAAAAGAAAAGCAUACGGUUAGGAAGCACUGUUAUUAACAUUGUUUAAAUUUCACUUAUCUAAAACCUAUGCAGCAGAGACUCACUUAAUGAGGCCAUGAUCAGUAUCUCCAUCUUGCUUAAACAAGGUUUUGAUCAUUUCCUGCCUGGGUGGCAGAGUGCACACAGAAGCUCUGUAUUUUGAGAUGAUUGGCCACUCCAAUGAACUAACAACCUAGGUAAAAGCCAAAAAUACCAGGGAAACUGAAAACAGAAGCAUGAUAUGUUACUUACUGCAGCAACCGAUGGCACGUCACGUCCUGGUGAACCAUGGGAAACAUCCAUACCAAAGAUGAUGGUUGGAAUCCUCGACACGUGAGGAAUAGCAUGGGUUAUUUCCUUUUUCAGCAAUGAAUUUAACCCGCCAAGCUGUUUGGCAGGACAAAUUUAAUAAAAGCAAAGCAUUCAGUUUUCAGCUAACAAAUCCAAAGUACAUUGAAGAUGGCAAUGCAAAUCACACUCCAAACCUUGGCAUUUAUCUUUAGCAGCACAUUUGUGAGGUACUGAUCUUUGACGUUGGGAGGAGGAACCAAGCAUUGUGUAACAAUGCCACGUUGUGCAAGGCAUUCACGCUUCCAUGGUCCUGAUAAGAACAAGAAACGUUUGGAUGGCAGGUAGAAGCAUAAUGAAGCUUACUUACAAGGCUGAGUUAGCAGAGCAUACCAUAUAUGUCAGAGUUCUUCUCAGGAAGAAAACACAGGAGAAACUCUGGAUUAUUUCCUCCGAAUGCUAUAUUUACCUGCCGAAACAUAUCCUCCACCCUUUUUGCCGGAGAUUGAUGUUUCAUUUUAUGAAUCUCCUGAAUUACAGCGCUAUAUUUCUCCAUACUCUGCAAAUCAAACUGGCUAAGACAUUUGAAAAGGCUCAAUAUCAGGUGAAGCAGUGAACUUACGAUUCCCUUCUCGCUACCGGAUUGGAGAGGGUGCUCGACAAGAUGUUCAACAUCACGUCGUGUAGAAAAAUCAACAACUCCCCAUGGCCAGGUCUUCUUAAAGUCAAUCGGCCGAAAAAACCUCUGAAGAAUUGAACCAGGAAAGUUACCGCAUCGACGCGAAAACAAAGAGUUUACGGUGCACAUGUGUGGAGUUUAAUCAACAGAACAGAUGCAAAGCAGAAAAGGGCAUGCGCACAGUACGCAUUCAAAAACAGCCAGUCAAAAGAACAGGUAGGGCUCUGCCAACCUGUGGUGCCUCAAGGACUCUACCCUGAACCUGGGUAAAGUCUGGAACUAUUGAUAUGCCGCAUUCCUUCAUCAUUGGCUCGGAAUCAUAAUUAUUGGCACGCAACUCCUAUCAUGAUAGCGUGCUGCCUCAGAAUGAUGUCAAGAACCCGAAGAACCUCCUGCGAGUUCUCAGAUUCCUGACCGCCACCAAGGACGAGGGCAAUGGCACUGAUCGGAACCUUUGCUGUGAAGGUGAUAUCCACCUUGAACCUUUUGCUCUGUCCUGCCUGUUUCAUUCUUUUCUUGUCGCUUGGUCCUGGACUGCCAUCUGCUCCCGGGCUCUGGCUCGUUGCAAUCCUGCAGGUAAAUGGCAAGACAAUUCCCCCAACCAACAAGAGAAUAAGAGAUCGACGAGCUCAAGAACAGAUAAGCUUUCCCUGGUGAGAAAUGGGUGAUGGAUUGGAGCUGAUGAAUGCCUUACUUUCUGGACAAAGCAUCGCCAUCUAUGACAACGUCAAAAUCAUUGGUGGCAAAUGGGAGAGGCCCAGAGGUGAAGAGGCUUUUGUCGCCAUCGUAGGCGAAUUGCUUGCCAUCAAGCAAAGAGGCAUAGGUCUCGUGCAGCUGCUUCAUCACCUUUCUGCAUACUCCUUGCCCGAUUACCGGAUGAUCGUCUUCAUACUUGAGAUCCACCUGCGGUCGAUACGAUCCAACAAAAUUGAAAACCAACUGUCAGAAUGUAGCCAUGCAUGGAAAUUAAUUUCAAGAACUGGAAUGGUGAUGGACUAGCUAUGUAAUGUAGGUAGGACGAGGCAUGUUCUCCUACAUUGUAGUGGUAAAAGAAGUCAUGUGUUGGAUUCCCAGAGACUUUGAAGUGGUUCGUGAGUAGCUGUAUGGUCUGCCCUCUCUUGCCAGAGUAUUUAACCAAAAACUACCAUAUUUCAUGGAAACGUGUCCAGAAACUACCACUUUACGAAUUUGUGCCGAAAACUACCACUUUUUUGUUAAUCUAUGACUAAAAACUACCAUGUCGGGGAAGUGCCCGAUUCGCCUCUUCUAAACGCCUUUCUGACAGGAUGAGCCCACAAGUCGGGUUGACCGUUAACUUUGACCGUUAUUACAAAUAGGACCCACACGUUAACCCUCUUCUUCCUCCUCUCUCCCUCUCUUUGGCA
Triticum aestivum (bread wheat) is the source of this 5343-nucleotide long non-coding RNA. RefSeq lists it as uncharacterized. NCBI's taxonomy places the organism in Eukaryota, Viridiplantae, Streptophyta, Magnoliopsida, Poales, Poaceae. The transcript has 4 exons. The record is from RefSeq and is a predicted model, not a curated record.